GGAGACAGGUGCUGCAUGGCUGUCGUCAGCUCGUGUCGUGAGAUGUUGGGUUAAGUCCCGCAACGAGCGCAACCCUCGCCCUUAGUUGCCAGCAUUUAGUUGGGCACUCUAGGGGGACUGCCGGUGAUAAGCCGAGAGGAAGGUGGGGAUGACGUCAAGUCCUCAUGGCCCUUACGGGCUGGGCUACACACGUGCUACAAUGGUGGUGACAGUGGGCAGCGAGACCGCGAGGUCGAGCUAAUCUCCAAAAGCCAUCUCAGUUCGGAUUGCACUCUGCAACUCGAGUGCAUGAAGUUGGAAUCGCUAGUAAUCGUGGAUCAGCAUGCCACGGUGAAUACGUUCCCGGGCCUUGUACACACCGCCCGUCACACCAUGGGAGUUGGUUUUACCCGAAGG
This 396-nucleotide ribosomal RNA is filed under the name Bartonella sp. RNAcentral's name for it is "bacterial SSU rRNA". It matches the Rfam family "Bacterial small subunit ribosomal RNA", at positions 1030 to 1427 of the family's 1533-position model. Lineage: Bacteria; Pseudomonadati; Pseudomonadota; Alphaproteobacteria; Hyphomicrobiales; Bartonellaceae. The record is from RNAcentral.